This is a non-coding RNA of Podarcis muralis (Common wall lizard), 934 nucleotides long. The record is from RefSeq and is a predicted model, not a curated record. Lineage: Eukaryota; Metazoa; Chordata; Lepidosauria; Squamata; Lacertidae.
CACACAGAUGUACGUAUCCGGCUGUCAAUCCAUCUGUGGAAGGGACUGGAUGGAACGGUUUGCCUUUGAAGAGGUGGAAAGGAGGGCAGAUUCAUGUACACCACAGCUAAGGAAUCUGUUUUCUCCCACUGCUCAUUGUUUAUAUAUUGUGUUCUGUUCAUAUUUUCUCUCUGUCGUUCUAGGACCGUGCAGGUAACUGCAACUGAGGCAAUAUAGCCAGAGACUCACAGAGCUAGUGGGAUCUGUUCUGUAGCUAGCAAAACGUAACAAGCUUUCCUGUGAUUGAAGAGACACGUGUGAAGACCAUCUUAGUCCUUGCUGUUAAGAUAUAUUUAUGGAGCAAGAUAGAUCCGCACUGAAGACGACAGACGGAGUGGGACAAUCAUGGCCUCCAGCCAUCUCUUCAGCCUUCCUAUAUAUACCCUGUUAUCGAACCAUCAGGAAGCAGGUCUGCUGCUGCCACACGUUGAGUCAAUGUUUUCUGUGUUUCGCCAAACUGGCGAGUUUUGAUCAUAAGAAAACAUCCUUACAAAGAAGCUUGUUACUGCACAGUUGGUAUCCAGUCAGAGACUGAGUUCAAGAACUGUCUCAUUUUAGAUGGCAGAUGCAGAUACCAUCUCAUCAGAAGGUCCAUUCCAUUCCGUCCAGUGAAGGAAUCGUGCUUAGUUCUCCCUUUGCAACACUUACCUGGGCCAUGAUGUCAGAUUCACAACAUUCAGUGUUCUAUGCCCACAGCAGCCAGUGAUACAGAGCAAGGACAGGGAAGUGAGGUCACAACACAAGGCAAAUGUUAGCCACGUCCCCAGCAUUUGAAAAAUGCAGCUGAUACGGAUGCUGAAGUGAAAAUAGAAGCUGAAAGGCAUUUUUGUACCAUUGCUGGAAGCCUGCAACACGCUGGAACUUGCCGGAACUCAGUUCCAUCACUUCUCAGGCG